This 428-nucleotide ribosomal RNA is filed under the name Decameria vyssus. RNAcentral's name for it is "eukaryotic LSU rRNA". Lineage: Eukaryota; Metazoa; Arthropoda; Insecta; Hymenoptera; Pergidae. The record is from RNAcentral.
CCCGAAAGAUCGAACGGGGAGAUUCAUCGUCAGCGGCGUCGGCUUCGCCGCGGUCAGCGAUGCCUCGGGCCUUCGGGUCUCCGUGGCACGCGGCCGCGUCGCGUUAUGUCCGGCGACGUGGGCGUGCACUUCUCCCCUGGUAGAACGUCGCGACCCGUUGGGCGUCGGCAUAAGGCACAAUCGGCACAGACUGUCCCGGCGUUCGCGUCGGGGCAAACCGAGAGUUUCGCCCGGUCGGCUGCCCGACGGUACACGCACGGUAUUUGGCCGCAUCGAACGUGUGCGCCCGGCCCGUCGCAAGCGCGGUCAGCGAUUCCCGGUGGUCGGACCUAGCGCCGUCCCCGGGCCUGGCCAGCUGUUGGCGAUCGGUGUCCUCGGGCCGGCCAUUAUAAUACCGGUCGGCGACGCUAUUGCUUUGGGUACUUUCA